UACAUAGGUCCCAAGCGUUGUUCGGAUUCACUGGGCGUAAAGGGUGCGUAGGCGGUUGGGUAAGUCUGACGUGAAAUCUCCGGGCCUAACCCGGAAACUGCGUUGGAUACUAUCCGGCUAGAGGAAUGGAGGGGAGACUGGAAUACUUGGUGUAGCAGUGAAAUGCGUAGAUAUCAAGUGGAACACCAGUGGCGAAGGCGAGUCUCUGGACAUUUCCUGACGCUGAGGCACGAAAGCCAGGGGAGCAAACGGG
This 253-nucleotide ribosomal RNA is filed under the name uncultured bacterium. RNAcentral's name for it is "partial 16S ribosomal RNA". It matches the Rfam family "Bacterial small subunit ribosomal RNA", at positions 524 to 776 of the family's 1533-position model. The record is from RNAcentral.